GAAGGGGGCUAGCGUUGUUCGGAAUUACUGGGCGUAAAGGGCGCGUAGGCUGUGCUGUAAGUCAGGCGUGAAAGCCCCGGGCUCAACCUGGGAAUUGCGCUUGAUACUGCGGCGCUGGAAGGUGGGAGAGGAUGGCGGAAUUCCCAGUGUAGAGGUGAAAUUCGUAGAUAUUGGGAAGAACACCGGUGGCGAAGGCGCCCAUCUGGCCCACAAUUGACGUUGAGGCGCGAAAGCGUGGGGAGCAAACAGGAUUAGAUACCCUGGUAGUCCACCCUGUAAACGAUGAGUGCUAGAGUCGGGGCGCUUGCUCUUCGGUGUCGCCGCUAACGCAUUAAGCACUCCGCCUGGGGAGUACGGUCGCAAGAUUA
RNAcentral lists this ribosomal RNA (368 nucleotides) under uncultured bacterium. RNAcentral's name for it is "bacterial SSU rRNA". It matches the Rfam family "Bacterial small subunit ribosomal RNA", at positions 527 to 896 of the family's 1533-position model. The record is from RNAcentral.